Molecule: ribosomal RNA, 406 nt
Filed under: uncultured bacterium
Lineage: Bacteria
Description: bacterial SSU rRNA
Rfam family: Bacterial small subunit ribosomal RNA
Source: RNAcentral
CAGUAGGGAAUAUUAGAAAUGGCCGAAAGUCUGAUCUAGCGACACCGCGUGUGCGAUGAAGGCCUUCGGGUUGUAAAGCACUUUUUGGAAGGAAUAGGAAGGAAGGUACUUCCAGAAUAAGUCUCGGCUAACUACGUGCCAGCAGCCGCGGUAACACGUAGGAGGCAAACGUUAUCCGGAUUUACUGGGCGUAAAGCGCGUGUAGGUGGUUCUGUAAGUAGGGCGUGAAAGCUCCCGGCUCAACUGGGAGAGGCCGUUCUAAACUGCAGAGCUAGAGGAUGGUAGAGGGAGGUGGAAUUCCAGGUGUAGCGGUGGAAUGCGCAGAUAUCUGGAGGAACACCAGUGGCGAAAGCGGCCUCCUGGACCAUUCCUGACACUCAGACGCGAAAGCUAGGGUAGCAAACGG